This 465-nucleotide ribosomal RNA is filed under the name uncultured bacterium. Its description in RNAcentral is "partial 16S ribosomal RNA". It matches the Rfam family "Bacterial small subunit ribosomal RNA", at positions 28 to 507 of the family's 1533-position model. The record is from RNAcentral.
GACGAACGCUGGCGGCGUGCUUAACACAUGCAAGUCGAACGGAAAGGCCCCUUUGGGGGUACUCGAGUGGCGAACGGGUGAGUAACACGUGAGUAACCUGCCCUUGACUUCGGGAUAACUUCAGGAAACUGGGGCUAAUACCGGAUAGGAAUCCUUGCUGCAUGGUGGGGGUUGGAAAGCUUCGGCGGUUCUGGAUGGACUGGCGGCUUAUCAGCUUGUUGGUGGGGUAGUGGCUUACCAAGGCUUUGACGGGUAGCCGGCCUGAGAGGGCGACCGGCCACAUUGGGACUGAGAUACGGCCCAGACUCCUACGGGAGGCAGCAGUGGGGAAUAUUGCACAAUGGGCGGAAGCCUGAUGCAGCAACGCCGCGUGCGGGAUGACGGCCUUCGGGUUGUAAACCGCUUUCAGCAGGAGCGAAGCUUGUGGUGACGGUACCUGCAGAAGAAGCACCGGCUAACUACGUG